AGAGUUGAUCCGUGGCUCAGAACGAACGCUGGCGGCAGGUCUAGGCAUGCAAGUCGAACGGAUGACAGAGAGCUUGCUCUCUGAAGUCAGUGGCGCACGAGUGAGUAACGCGUGGGAAACUGCCCUUCACUGGGGAAUAACGUUUGGAAACGAACGCUAAUACCGCAUACGCCCGCAAGGGGAAAGAUUUAUCGGUGAUGGAUGUGCCCGCGUUGGAUUAGCUAGUUGGUGGGGUAAUGGCCUACCAAGGCGAUGAUCCAUAGCUGGUCUGAGAGGACGAUCAGCCACGCUGGAACUGAGACACGGUCCAGACUCCUACGGGAGGCAGCAGCUAAGAAUAUUGGGCAAUGGAGGAAACUCUGACCCAGCCAAUGCCGCGUGAAUGAAGAAGGCCUUCGGGUUGUAAAGUUCUUUUAGUCAUGAAGAUGAUGACAGUAGUGACAGAAAAAGCACCGGCUAACUUCGUGCCAGCAGCUGC
This 478-nucleotide ribosomal RNA is filed under the name uncultured bacterium. RNAcentral describes it as "bacterial SSU rRNA". It matches the Rfam family "Bacterial small subunit ribosomal RNA", at positions 8 to 518 of the family's 1533-position model. The record is from RNAcentral.